RNAcentral lists this ribosomal RNA (398 nucleotides) under uncultured bacterium. Its description in RNAcentral is "partial 16S ribosomal RNA". It matches the Rfam family "Bacterial small subunit ribosomal RNA", at positions 360 to 774 of the family's 1533-position model. The record is from RNAcentral.
AAUAUUGCACAAUGGGCGCAAGCCUGAUGCAGCAACGCCGCGUGCGCGACGAAGACCUUCGGGUCGUAAAGCGCUUUUCGGGGAGAUGAGUACGGACAGUAUCCCCGGUCGAAGGAUCGGCUAACUACUUGCCAGCAGCCGCGGUAAAACGUAGGAUCCGCGCGUUAGCCGAAUUCACUGGGCGUAAAGCGCAUGCAGGCGGGCGCAAAAGUUGGGUGUGAAAUCUCCCGGCUCAACUGGGAGGGGACGUUCAAAACUGGGCGGCUCGAGGGCGGUAGAGGAAGGUAGAAUUCCCGGUGUAGUGGUGAAAUGCGUAGAUAUCGGGAGGAAUACCCGUGGCGAAGGCGACCUUCUGGACCGUUUCUGACGCUCAGAUGCGAAAGCUAGGGGAGCGAACG